AAAAUAGGACAACUCAUUCACAGGUUGUGUGUGGGGGGCUGCUGACAGGGACUCUGACCAACAUUAUCAGAAGGUGAAGUUGGGAAGACAUGGUGCCUUUUAUUCCCUUUGGUGUCUCUUUGUUUGGAAGCUUUGUUUUCUAAUGAAGCAUUCUCUGUGGAGUGAGUCACAGUUGUGAGAACCGGGAAUGUUUUAAGAGUAUGUUUAUGGAUUUUAGAAAUAAAUAAGCAAUGAGUAAAAUGCUUCAAAACUGAAAGUACUGUGCCAUAUAUUUUUAUCUGUCACCAAGGCACAGGAGAAAUGUCUAAGUAUUGAUUUUCUACUUUUAUGCCCUCUGUUGGAGGUGCUCGUUAAAGCCAGAAGCACUCCCAAGGACUGGAUUGGAGGGUCCUGUGGGGUGACUUAUCCAGACGGAUGCCAUGGAACUGUUCUUUGUCCUUAUGAGGAGUUGGAGUUCCACAGACACUGGUGUUAAAAAGUGAGAUUCGUGAUUUUGAAGAGUUUUUGGUCACACAAAUGGAAAUGGAAAUUCUGCUAAACAAGGUUCUCUGGGUACUCCUGGAAAAGGCUGCUGGAUCCUCUCUGUGCAGCACCGGCCCAGAAUAAAACAUGGUGUGAGACUGCUCAAGAGAUAACAAUAAAACAAGGAGUUAAAAUGUAAGAACCUGGUGAAGGAAGCUACUUGAAAGAGGUACAUGACCUUCAUUCUCUUGGCCAAAGGCAGUCAUCGAGGGGAUUGUGGUGGAAGAAUGACACGGCUGGGGAGGAAUUGUUGGAAGUGUCUUAUGAAGCAUUUAAAGAAAGUCGAAAACAAGAUGAGUUUGGCUUUUGAAAGUAAGAAUAGAAUUAAGAGACAUAUUUACAGCUUGUUUUACUCCUUGAAGAUGGCGGGUGGGGACAGGAGUGCAGAGUAUUCUGUCUACAGUCACCCUGAGGACAGGAUCACCCUAUCCUUGAUAGAGGUCUUUGCUCACAUAACUCCUUAGGAAUCUCCAUGUCUCCAGGAACUCAUCCAUUUUCUUUUCUUGGAAUGUGGCUGUCCACGCUCCCCCUAUCUCCCCUCUCCUCCAGAUCCACUCUCCCUCCCCCAUUCCCCUACAGAAAAGAGCAGCUCUCCAAGGGACAGCAACCAAACGUGACAGAAUGAGAUACAAUAAGACAAGGCAAAAGCCCUUCCACUGAGGCUGGACACGGCAACCAGAGAUGAGGAAAAGAGUCCCAGGAGCAGGCAAAAUGUCAGAGACACACACUCCACUGUUAAAAAUCUCUCAAGACCCUGCACUCCUGGGAGCCUCCGGAGGUGGACUGGCUUUUUGCCCUGGUGUAUGUGGGGGACUUCGAGAGCCCAUCCCACUUGAAGGGAUGCACUCUGUCUCUGAACACAUGGGGAGGGACCCAGGCCCAGCACAGGAAGAUUUGGUGGA
RNAcentral lists this long non-coding RNA (1424 nucleotides) under Cricetulus griseus (Chinese hamster). Its description in RNAcentral is "lncRNA (ENSCGRG00015042536.1)". The record is from RNAcentral. Lineage: Eukaryota; Metazoa; Chordata; Mammalia; Rodentia; Cricetidae.